UUUGUGCUUCCUGCAAGCAGAGAGACUUUGUAUGGGACACUCAUGCAUGCCUACUUCUGGGAAUCUCUCUGAGUGUGAUGUGUGGACACCAGGACACCAUGAUCAGGGAUGUGAGGCCACAGGAGCAAUUGCCUUAGCCGGACCCAAAGGAUGUAAAAACACUAAAGGGGGAGAUGUUUUUGCCCUGAGGCUUUCACUGGGAACUACCAGAUGCACUGUGUCUGUUGCCAGACUAGGAAAAUUGUGGUGCCUGUCCAUGUGAAGAGUCUCCUUGAUGAGUUCCUUCUCAAUCCUUUUUCGCAAGGACCCGGGGAGUUUGUGCUUCCUGCAAGCAGAACUACUUUGUAUGGGACACUCAUGCAUGCCUACUCUGGGAAUCUCUCUGACUGUGAUGUGCGGACACCAGGACACCAUGAUCAGGGAUUGUGAGGCCACAGGACUAAUUACCUUAGCCGG
This is a long non-coding RNA of Erinaceus europaeus (western European hedgehog), 456 nucleotides long. RefSeq lists it as uncharacterized. The record is from RefSeq and is a predicted model, not a curated record. NCBI's taxonomy places the organism in Eukaryota, Metazoa, Chordata, Mammalia, Eulipotyphla, Erinaceidae. The transcript is spliced from 3 exons.